GAUGAACGCUGGCGGCGUGCCUAAUACAUGCAAGUCGAGCGAACAGACGAGGAGCUUGCUCCUCUGACGUUAGCGGCGGACGGGUGAGUAACACGUGGAUAACCUACCUAUAAGACUGGGAUAACUUCGGGAAACCGGAGCUAAUACCGGAUAAUAUAUUGAACCGCAUGGUUCAAUAGUGAAAGACGGAUUUGCUGUCACUUAUAGAUGGAUCCGCGCCGCAUUAGCUAGUUGGUAAGGUAACGGCUUACCAAGGCAACGAUGCGUAGCCGACCUGAGAGGGUGAUCGGCCACACUGGAACUGAGACACGGUCCAGACUCCUACGGGAGGCAGCAGUAGGGAAUCUUCCGCAAUGGGCGAAAGCCUGACGGAGCAACGCCGCGUGAGUGAUGAAGGUCUUCGGAUCGUAAAACUCUGUUAUUAGGGAAGAACAAAUGUGUAAGUAACUAUGCACGUCUUGACGGUACCUAAUCAGAAAGCCACGGCUAACUACGUG
Molecule: ribosomal RNA, 497 nt
Filed under: uncultured bacterium
Lineage: Bacteria
Description: partial 16S ribosomal RNA
Rfam family: Bacterial small subunit ribosomal RNA
Source: RNAcentral